RNAcentral lists this ribosomal RNA (547 nucleotides) under uncultured bacterium. Its description in RNAcentral is "partial 16S ribosomal RNA". It matches the Rfam family "Bacterial small subunit ribosomal RNA", at positions 355 to 895 of the family's 1533-position model. The record is from RNAcentral.
UGGGGAAUUUUGGACAAUGGGCGAAAGCCUGAUCCAGCAAUGCCGCGUGUGUGAAGAAGGCCUUCGGGUUGUAAAGCACUUUUGUCCGGAAAGAAAUCCUUGGCUCUAAUACAGUCGGGGGAUGACGGUACCGGAAGAAUAAGCACCGGCUAACUACGUGCCAGCAGCCGCGGUAAUACGUAGGGUGCAAGCGUUAAUCGGAAUUACUGGGCGUAAAGCGUGCGCAGGCGGUUUGCUAAGACCGAUGUGAAAUCCCCGGGCUCAACCUGGGAACUGCAUUGGUGACUGGGCAGGCUAGAGUAUGGCAGAGGGGGGUAGAAUUCCACGUGUAGCAGUGAAAUGCGUAGAGAUGUGGAGGAAUACCGAUGGCGAAGGCAGCCCCCUGGGCCAAUACUGACGCUCAUGCACGAAAGCGUGGGGAGCAAACAGGAUUAGAUACCCUGGUAGUCCACGCCCUAAACGAUGUCAACUAGUUGUUGGGGAUUCAUUCCUUAGUAACGUAGCUAACGCGUGAAGUUGACCGCCUGGGGAGUACGGUCGCAAGAUU